Long non-coding RNA from Rhinopithecus bieti (black snub-nosed monkey), 1855 nucleotides. NCBI's taxonomy places the organism in Eukaryota, Metazoa, Chordata, Mammalia, Primates, Cercopithecidae. The record is from Ensembl.
AUGGAGGAGGAAAAUUUAAAAGUGAAUUCGUGGGCGGCGACAAGGAAACAGCAGCCGUGGCCAAGCAGACCCCAGAGCCCUUCCCUUCUUGGCCCUCCCUCUGAAUCAUCGCGCUCCACUUGUGACGUCGCGGACGCCCGGCUCCGGCAGGCGUGGGGGGCCCGCGCGUCCCGGGAGCCCCGAGGCGGCAGCGCGCGAUUCCAUGCCGCGGUGCCGCGGGAAAGCCGGGGGCGGAGGCCUGGCUCAGGCAGAGCUCGGAUCCGGUGCCGAGCCGAGCGGGACCGCGCGUCGUCCGCGCUUCGCCUUCGCUCGCUUGACCUCCGCCGUCCUCUCCAGCCCUCGUCCUCUGGCCGCGCGUGCGGCCGCACGCCCAGCGCCUCUAGCUUAACCCCGCGCCCGGGCCGCGCCUCCUCCUCCCACUCCUCCUGCUCUCCUCCCCCGCCGCUUCCGUUUCUCGAGGGAAAGGCUGCUGCCUCCUGCUCUGUCCGCAUCCCCUGCUUAGAUUCAAGUCAACUAAAGUAAAUCUUCCUACAAAGCAUUCAUUCCUGAAAUAAAAGGCAUUUAAGUGGGUAGGUGCUUUUGUUUGAGUUUUCACUAGAUCCUUUCUAUCACCUGAAAGCUUUUUGCAUUAUUACCACAGUCUCGUUUUAUUUAGACAUUUGCCUCAAGGAGCUGAGACAUUCUUAUACCUUCAUACUUAAUUGCCCCAAAACACUUAAAAAAUGUAAUUUAUUGUUAUAAAAGCACUGUGUAUUUACUGUAGAGUAUUUGAAAAUUAUAGAAAAGCAUAAUUUAAAAAUCAUCCAUAAUUCCAUUACUCAGUCAUAACUACCAUUAAAACAUCACCUACUAAUCUUUCUAUCAAGCUCUUUCUCUCUGUGUAUGUGUAUAAAUACAAAUGGAUAACAUACUCUCAAAUUAUAUAUGGUCAUAGGUAGUUUUUCCACUUAACAUUAGUGCAUUGGCAUAUUUCCACAUUAUUAAAUAUUCUUCAAAAACAUGAUUUUACCGACUGUAUAUUAUUUUGUUUUACCAAUAUUUAAGAUUAUUUUCAACUUGUUAUAAUAUUAAUCCUCCUUGUGCAGAAAUAUUUUAACUCAACCCGGAUUGCCUUAACACAAAUUGAGGAAAAACUGGAGUUACUGACUAAAGGCAGUGACAUCUAUAGGGAUCUUGACACAUUUUUGUCAGAUUGCCCUCUGGAAACCUAACUUGUUUGCAUGUCUAUUAGCAGAGCAUCAGCACCUGUUUCACCACAUCACCAAGAGGGAAUGUAAACUUUAAAACAUAUGCAAUAGUGAAAGAGGAUAUCUCAUUGCUUUUGUGCCCUUUUCUUUUUAUUACUACUGAGACUGGACAUAUUUUCUCAUAGUGGUUGACCUAUAAUCUUAAGGAGAGAACAUAUUUUUUAGCAAAAUUGUUUAAGACUAUUACAAAUUACAUCUUACUCUCCCACUGCAUCCACAUCUUCAGAGUUGUACUAAUUCUCAGCCUCCCAGAGUCCAUUAAGGGAAUUUUUUUCUUUUGAGACAGAGUCUUGCUCAGUCCCCCAGGCUGGAGUGCAGUGGUGCAACCUCGGCUCAAUGCAACCUCCGCCUCCCAGGUUCAAGCGAUUCUCUUCCUCAGCCUCCCGAGUAGCUGAGACUACAGGUGUGGGCCACCACGUCCGGCUAAUUUUUGUAUUUUUUUUAGUAGAGAUUCACCAUGUUGGCCAGGCUGGUUUUGAAUUCCUGACCUCAGGUGAUCCACCCGCCUCAGCCUCCCAAAGUGCUGGGAUUAUAGGCAUGAGCCACUGUGCCCAGUCCCGGCUAUUUUUUUUUUUUUUUUUUUUUUUUUUUUUUUUUAAAUUCUGGGG